This 515-nucleotide ribosomal RNA is filed under the name uncultured bacterium. RNAcentral describes it as "bacterial SSU rRNA". It matches the Rfam family "Bacterial small subunit ribosomal RNA", at positions 15 to 518 of the family's 1533-position model. The record is from RNAcentral.
GAUCAUGGCUCAGGAUGAACGCUAGCUACAGGCUUAACACAUGCAAGUCGAGGGGCAUCAUGGAGUUGCUUGCAAACUCUGAUGGCGACCGGCGCACGGGUGAGUAACGCGUAUCCAACCUUCCCUAUAGUAGAGGAUAGCCCGGCGAAAGUCGGAUUAAUACUCUAUGUUUUCCGUUGCAGACAUCUAAGAUGGAACAAAGGCUUGCCGCUAUAGGAUGGGGAUGCGUCUGAUUAGGUAGUCGGCGGGGUAACGGCCCACCGAGCCAUCGAUCAGUAGGGGUUCUGAGAGGAAGGUCCCCCACAUUGGAACUGAGACACGGUCCAAACUCCUACGGGAGGCAGCAGUGAGGAAUAUUGGUCAAUGGGCGAGAGCCUGAACCAGCCAAGUAGCCGUGCAGGACGACGGCCCUAUGGGUUGUAAACUGUCUUUUAUGCGGGGAUAAAGUUCACUACGUGUAGUGUUUUGUAGGUACCGCAUGAAUAAGGACCGGCUAAUUCCGUGCCAGCCGCCGC